CCUACGGGCGGCUGCAGUGGGGAAUAUUGCACAAUGGGCGCAAGCCUGAUGCAGCCAUGCCGCGUGUGUGAAGAAGGCCUUCGGGUUGUAAAGCACUUUCAGCGGGGAGGAAGGCGUUAAGGUUAAUAACCUUGGCGAUUGACGUUACCCGCAGAAGAAGCACCGGCUAACUCCGUGCCAGCAGCCGCGGUAAUACGGAGGGUGCCAGCGUUAAUCGGAAUUACUGGGCGUAAAGCGCACGCAGGCGGUCUGUCAAGUCGGAUGUGAAAUCCCCGGGCUCAACCUGGGAACUGCAUUCGAAACUGGCAGGCUAGAGUCUUGUAGAGGGGGGUAGAAUUCCAGGUGUAGCGGUGAAAUGCGUAGAGAUCUGGAGGAAUACCGGUGGCGAAGGCGGCCCCCUGGACAAAGACUGACGCUCAGGUGCGAAAGCGUGGGGAGCAAACAGGAUUAGAUACCCGUGUAGUC
This 465-nucleotide ribosomal RNA is filed under the name uncultured Klebsiella sp. Its description in RNAcentral is "bacterial SSU rRNA". It matches the Rfam family "Bacterial small subunit ribosomal RNA", at positions 338 to 795 of the family's 1533-position model. Lineage: Bacteria; Pseudomonadati; Pseudomonadota; Gammaproteobacteria; Enterobacterales; Enterobacteriaceae. The record is from RNAcentral.